Molecule: ribosomal RNA, 274 nt
Filed under: uncultured bacterium
Lineage: Bacteria
Description: partial 16S ribosomal RNA
Rfam family: Bacterial small subunit ribosomal RNA
Source: RNAcentral
AUACGGAGGGUGCAAGCGUUGUUCGGAAUCACUGGGCGUAAAGAGCGCGCAGGCGGUUUGGUAAGUCAGAUGUGAAAGCCCACGGCUCAACCGUGGAAGUGCAUUUGAAACUGUCAGACUUGAGUACUAGAGGGGAAAGUGGAAUUCCCGGUGUAGAGGUGAAAUUCGUAGAUAUCGGGAGGAAUACCGGUGGCGAAAGCGACUUUCUGGCUAGAUACUGACGCUGAGGCGCGAAAGCGUGGGGAGCAAACAGGAUUAGAAACCCUAGUAGUCC